This 478-nucleotide ribosomal RNA is filed under the name uncultured bacterium. Its description in RNAcentral is "partial 16S ribosomal RNA". It matches the Rfam family "Bacterial small subunit ribosomal RNA", at positions 28 to 523 of the family's 1533-position model. The record is from RNAcentral.
GACGAACGCUGGCGGCGUGCUUAACACAUGCAAGUCGAACGGUAAGGCCCUUCGGGGUACUCGAGUGGCGAACGGGUGAGUAACACGUGGGUGAUCUGCCCUGCACUUCGGGAUAAGCCUGGGAAACUGGGUCUAAUACCGGAUAGGACCACUGCCUGCAUGGGUGGUGGUGGAAAGCUUUUGCGGUGUGGGAUGGGCCCGCGGCCUAUGAGCUUGGCGGUGGGGUGAUGGCCGACCAAGGCGACGACGGGUAGCCGGCCUGAGAGGGUGACCGGCCACACUGGGACUGAGAUACGGCCCAGACUCCUACGGGAGGCAGCAGUGGGGAAUAUUGCACAAUGGGCGCAAGCCUGAUGCAGUGACGCCGCGUGAGGGAUGACGGCCUUCGGGUUGUAAACCUCUUUCAGCACCGACGAAGCGCAAGUGACGGUAGGUGCAGAAGAAGGACCGGCCAACUACGUGCCAGCCGCCGCGGUAA